RNAcentral lists this ribosomal RNA (330 nucleotides) under uncultured Pseudomonadota bacterium. Its description in RNAcentral is "bacterial SSU rRNA". It matches the Rfam family "Bacterial small subunit ribosomal RNA", at positions 568 to 898 of the family's 1533-position model. Lineage: Bacteria; Pseudomonadati; Pseudomonadota. The record is from RNAcentral.
UGCGCAGGCGGUUGAUUAAGUCAGAUGUGAAAUACCUGGGCUUAACCUGGGAAUGGCACUUGAGACUGGUCGGCUAGAGUGUGUCAGAGGGGGGUAGAAUUCCACGUGUAGCAGUGAAAUGCGUAGAGAUGUGGAGGAAUACCGAUGGCGAAGGCAGCCCCCUGGGAUAACACUGACGCUCAGGCACGAAAGCGUGGGGAGCAAACAGGAUUAGAUACCCUGGUAGUCCACGCCCUAAACGAUGUCAACUAGUUGUUGGGUCUACUAAGACUUGGUAACGCAGCUAACGCGAGAAGUUGACCGCCUGGGGAGUACGGUCGCAAGAUUAAA